RNAcentral lists this microRNA precursor (135 nucleotides) under Hordeum vulgare. RNAcentral describes it as "microRNA MIR1122". It matches the Rfam family "MIR1120/MIR1122 microRNA precursor family". The record is from RNAcentral. Lineage: Eukaryota; Viridiplantae; Streptophyta; Magnoliopsida; Poales; Poaceae.
UUACUACUCCCUCCGUCCCAAAAUUAUUGUCUUAGAUUUGUGUAGAUAUGAAUGUAUGUAGUCAUAUUAUAGUAUUAGAUACAUCCAUUUGUAGAAAAAUUCAAGACAAGAAUUUUGGGACGGAGGGAGUAUAUG